AUUGAACGCUGGCGGCAUGCUUUACACAUGCAAGUCGAACGGUAGACCCUUUCGGGGGUUGAGAGUGGCGAACGGGUGAGUAAUGCAUCGGAACAUACCCAGUCGUGGGGGAUAACGUAGCGAAAGUUACGCUAAUACCGCAUACGUCCUGAGGGAGAAAGCGGGGGAUCUUCGGACCUCGCGCGAUUGGAGUGGCCGAUGUCAGAUUAGCUAGUUGGUGGGGUAAAGGCCCACCAAGGCGACGAUCUGUAGCGGGUCUGAGAGGAUGAUCCGCCACACUGGGACUGAGACACGGCCCAGACUCCUACGGGAGGCAGCAGUGGGGAAUUUUGGACAAUGGGCGCAAGCCUGAUCCAGCCAUGCCGCGUGCGGGAAGAAGGCCUUCGGGUUGUAAACCCCUUUCGGCAGGGAAGAUGGAACGGGUAACCGUU
This 431-nucleotide ribosomal RNA is filed under the name uncultured bacterium. Its description in RNAcentral is "bacterial SSU rRNA". It matches the Rfam family "Bacterial small subunit ribosomal RNA", at positions 30 to 468 of the family's 1533-position model. The record is from RNAcentral.